RNAcentral lists this ribosomal RNA (387 nucleotides) under Triticum aestivum (bread wheat). RNAcentral describes it as "partial small subunit ribosomal RNA". Lineage: Eukaryota; Viridiplantae; Streptophyta; Magnoliopsida; Poales; Poaceae. The record is from RNAcentral.
AUGUGUCCAUACACGGAGGACGAGCUCUCGCCUCCUUUCUCGCUCGCCGCCGCCACCACCCACGUCGGCCGCUUCUCUGGGGACCUCCAGCGCCGUCCAGCAUGCCCCCGAGCUCCCCACGGUCCACGCCUCCCUCCCCUCCGGCCAGAGUCUCCGCUCCCGUCCUCUACCGCCCGCUCGCAAGCCCAUCCCCCAUGGCUAGGGUUUCGGGGGAUAAACAAGGGGAGGUAUAGCAGGGCGUUGGACAUUUGCGGGAGUGGGGGAGAUCGAUGUGGACGAGGACUGUCUGGUGCACUGCUGGUGCGGGGAGGGCAUGGGAGAGGGAUGGCUGCUGCGCUGCUAUUAGCUGGAUAUAGCACUGCUCCUUUCCUGUUGUUUGUUGAUUGA